GAUGAAGAACGUAGCGAAAUGCGAUAAGUAAUGCGAAUUGCAGAAUUUCCGUGAGUCAUCGAAUCUUUGAACGCACAUUGCGCCCGCCAGCAUUCUGGCGGGCAUGCCUGUUCGAGCGUCAUUUCAACCCUCGAGCCCCCCCGGGGGCCUCGGUGUUGGGGGACGGCACACCAGCCGCCCCCGAAAUGCAGUGGCGACCCCGCCGCAGCCUCCCCUGCGUAGUAGCACACACCUCGCACCGGAGCGCGGAGGCGGUCACGCCGUAAAACGCCCAACUUUCUUAGAGUUGACCUCGGAUCAGGUAGGAAUACCCGCUGAACUUAAGCAUAUCAAUAAGCGGAGGA
RNAcentral lists this unclassified non-coding RNA (344 nucleotides) under soil metagenome. Its description in RNAcentral is "partial contains 5.8S ribosomal RNA, internal transcribed spacer 2, and large subunit ribosomal RNA". The stretch from base 1 to 121 matches the Rfam family "5.8S ribosomal RNA", at positions 35 to 154 of the family's 154-position model. The record is from RNAcentral.